AGCACUGUUACACUGAACUGCACUGCAGUUAACAACGUCAGCUCCAUUUCUGCUAAAGAGACACUGAGCUGUAGCUCUGAACAUCCCAGAACAGAAACUCAAUUGUCAGUUCUUAAAUUGAUCAGUAGUCUAGUGGCGGCCUCUCCGUAUCUGCUGGUGACCAUCAUCCUGGGUGUAAAAUGUUACAGAGCUCGAGGUCAUCAUAACAGUCAGUAUGCCAUGAAAGUAAUUGAGGAAUAAGCACUUUGCUCUCUCUGUAUGAAAUAAGUUGAACACUGAACUACUCAGUGGCAAACAAAUUUUCUGCUACAAAGUUUAUAGUUGUAUAGUUUUCAUUUUUAUAAUAAUAUUUUCAUUUACACUCAAAGCUCAGGGGCACAGAAUAUUUUUACUGUAUUUAUGUUUGCACUCUUCUGAGCUGGAUCAACGUUGGAGCUUUUCUCCAAGAUUAGAGGUCACAACACUGUUAUGACUGCUGGGAAAACUCGGAUUGCUCUUCUUCCACUUCAGUCUCUCUGUGUCCUCUUCCAGCCCCCUGUAUUUCACCAGAUUCUUCUAUUUCUUCAUCGUAUUUUGCCAUCACUCGAUUGCCAGAUCUAUCACCACUGCAGUAUUCUGCAUUUUAUUUUAACUCUCACUGUUUACUUUUCUGUACUGUUAUCUGACUGUAACUGGAGGUCACACAUAUUCAUGUUUAUCUGUCCCUGUACACAAUCCCUGCCAUGUUCACUGCAGCUAAUAUUAUAAUGUGUUGUAAUACUGUAUACUAAAUGUAAUCUGGUUCAUGUAAUCUGAUCAAGUACUUGUGAACAAAGUCAGAGUAUCUUUACAUUUACAUAAACUGCUUUAUUACAUUAGUAGAUGUCACUUUGAGAAAACAUGAGUACUAAAUGUUUGCAAAAAAAUGUCUGGGAGAAGUGUAAAGGGAAAUAGAGAAACUGCUAGUCAUAUUCAAUAUAUAUAUAUCAAUUUAUAUUUUAUAUUUAUAUAUCAUAUAUAUCAAUUUCACAUGACUUCACACAUGAGCUUUU
Long non-coding RNA from Ictalurus furcatus (blue catfish), 1031 nucleotides. RefSeq lists it as uncharacterized. The record is from RefSeq and is a predicted model, not a curated record. Lineage: Eukaryota; Metazoa; Chordata; Actinopteri; Siluriformes; Ictaluridae. The transcript has 3 exons.